ACAUAAGACAUGCAAGUCGAACGAAAGUCGUUAUACUGAAUUUGAAAUGAACUGUGAACUUGUUCAGAGGGACUAGAUGAUGAUUAUAACAAUGGCUUUAGUGGCGGACUGGUGAGUAACGCGUAGGUAACCUGCCUAACAGAGGGGAAUAACAGUGAGAAAUCAUUGCUAAUACCGCAUAUGCUCACAGUAUCACAUGAUACAGUGAGGAAAGGAGUAAUCCGCUGAUAGAUGGGCCUGCGUCUGAUUAGCUAGUUGGUUAGGUAAAAGCUGACCAAGGCAACGAUCAGUAGCCGGACUGAGAGGUUAAACGGCCACAUUGGGACUGAGAUACGGCCCAGACUCCUACGGGAGGCAGCAGUCGGGAAUAUUGCGCAAUGGAGGAAACUCCUGACGCAGUGACGCCGCGUAUAGGAAGAAGGUUUUCGGAUUGUAAACUAUUGUCGUUAGGGAAGAUAAAAGACAGUACCUAAGGAGGAAGCCCCGGCUAACUAUGUGCCAGCAGCUGC
This 509-nucleotide ribosomal RNA is filed under the name uncultured bacterium. RNAcentral describes it as "bacterial SSU rRNA". It matches the Rfam family "Bacterial small subunit ribosomal RNA", at positions 46 to 518 of the family's 1533-position model. The record is from RNAcentral.